Molecule: long non-coding RNA, 1352 nt
Filed under: Salmo salar (Atlantic salmon)
Lineage: Eukaryota; Metazoa; Chordata; Actinopteri; Salmoniformes; Salmonidae
Description: lncRNA (ENSSSAG00000117618.1)
Source: RNAcentral
GUUCCAUACUAGAUAGACGGAGAGACGUGUAGUUCCAUACUAGAUAGACGGAGAGACGUGUAGUUCCAUACUAGAUAGACGGAGAGACGUGUAGUUACAUACUAGAUAGACGGAGAGACGUGUAGUUCCAUACUAGAUAGACGGAGAGAGUUAACGUGUAGUUCCAUACUAGAUAGACAGAAAGAUUUAACGUGUAGUUCCAUACUAGAUAGACGGAGAGACGUGUAGUUCCACACUAGAUAGACGGAGAGACGUGUAGUUCCAUACUAGAUAGACGGAGAGACGUGUAGUUCCAUACUAGAUAGACGGAGAGACGUGUAGUUCCAUACUAGAUAGACGGAGAGAGUUAACGUGUAGUUACAUACUAGAUAGACGGAGAGAGUUAACGUGUAGUUCCAUACUAGAUAGACGGAGAGACGUGUAGUUCCACACUAGAUAGACGGAGAGACGUGUAGUUCCAUACUAGAUAGACGGAGAGAGUUAACGUGUAGUUCCAUACUAGAUAGACGGAGAGGCGUGUAGUUACAUACUAGAUAGACGGAGAGACGUGUAGUUCCAUACUAGAUAGACAGAGAGACGUGUAGUUCGAUACUAGAUAGACGGAGAGACGUGUAGUUCCAUACUAGAUAGACGGAGAGACGUGUAGUUCCAUACUAGAUAGAUACAGAGAGACGUGUAGUUCCAUACUAGAUAGACGGAGAGACGUGUAGUUCCAUACUAGAUAGACGGAGAGACGUGUAGUUCCAUAUUAGAUAGACGGAGAGACGUGUAGUUCCAUACUAGAUAGACGGAGAGACUUAACGUGUAGUUACAUACUAGAUAGACGGAGAGAGUUAACGUGUAGUUCCAUACUAGAUAGACGGAGAGACGUGUAGUUCCACACUAGAUAGACGGAGAGACGUGUAGUUCCAUACUAGAUAGACGGAGAGAGUUAACGUGUAGUUCCAUACUAGAUAGAUGGAGAGGCGUGUAGUUACAUACUAGAUAGACGGAGAGACGUGUAGUUCCAUACUAGAUAGACAGAGAGACGUGUAGUUCCAUACUAGAUAGACGGAGAGACGUGUAGUUCCAUACUAGAUAGACGAGAGACGUGUAGUUCCAUACUAGAUAGAGACAGAGAGACGUGUAGUUCCAUACUAGAUAGACGGAGAGACGUGUAGUUCCAUACUAGAUAGACGGAGAGACGUGUAGUUCCAUACUAGAUAGACGGAGAGACGUGUAGUUCCAUACUAGAUAGACGGAGAGACGUGUAGUUCCAUACUAGAUAGACGGAGAGACGUGUAGUUCCAUACUAGAUAGACGGAGAGACGUGUAGUUCCAUACUAGAUAGACGGAGAGACGUGUAGAUCCAU